Long non-coding RNA from Crotalus tigris (Tiger rattlesnake), 2548 nucleotides. RefSeq lists it as uncharacterized. The record is from RefSeq and is a predicted model, not a curated record. Lineage: Eukaryota; Metazoa; Chordata; Lepidosauria; Squamata; Viperidae. The transcript is spliced from 2 exons.
UAUAGAAUUUAGCUUUGUUAUAUUAUGAAAGGGCGCGGUUAUUUAAUAACAGACUUAAUUUUAUGGGAGAAGCUGAUUAUCUCUUGAAAGCUUUUGAUCUCUACAAGUACUUUCAGUGCUGCAAAACAUGAGAAUAGAGAGAGAUUUCCACAACAGUUGUCUUCCCCACGAUUUUUUUAGCUGCUUUUCAUAAGUCUCCCUGAACUGGAAGCAAAAGAAUUUGAACUCCUGGCUGAUGCUGGAAGAAUAGGAGGUAGCCAUGGCUAAGAGGGCCUGUGCACACCUUUGGGUUGUGUGCCUUUAUCCCAUUCUUGGACCAGUAGGCUCCGCUCACUAUCAUCAUGCUGUUGUGAUCCCAUUUGAACUAUUGCUAUGCGCUUUAAAUAAGACUGCCCUUGAGGAGUAUCCAGAAGCUUCAGCUGAUGUUUAGUCCUGUUGCUCCUGAUUCUGGAGGUAACACAGAAUCGGCUUAACUAUUAGCUGUUUAGUAUCUGAUUGUUAAUAAAUUUAUCUAAUACCUUUUUAAUGCCUCUCAAACGGGCAAUCAUUGCUAACUUUCUGGAAGCAAAUUCAAUAGUUUAAUCAUUUUAGAGUUGUAAAUGCUGUCAGCUGUUUGGCUUAUGAAAUAUCACUGCCUCAGGGGUUACACUGGUCACCAGUGUGCUUCUGGGUGAAAUUUAAAGUGUUGGUUGUCAUCUGUAAAGCCCUUCACCGCAUAGGACUGGAUUACCCUGUCUUCUCCCAGCUGUUUCUAUCUAUCCAAUCUGGUCUAGCAGGAUGGGUAUGUUCUGGAUCCCAUGAACUAUUGGAUGUCAGCUGGCAGGGACCAGAUGGCCCUUCUCUGCCAUAAUGCUUGCCCUCUGGAACAUUCUUUCUCCAGAGAAUGACUCUGUUGGCCUUUGGAAGGCCUUGAAGGCCUGGUGAUGAGCCUGGGCCUGGGAUCCUGAGUGUGUGAAGGGCCUUGUUUCCCUGGUUAUGUUGUCACCGACAGAUUAUAGUAUCUUCUGGCCUGCUAUUUGUGUUUAAUUUUUUCUCUGUAUUUUAAUUGUUUUCCCGGUUGUUCAUCGCCCAGAGUUACUAGUUUGAAAUGGGUGGCUAUACAAACUGAAUAAACAAUCAAAUUAAAAAAUGCUUGGUUCUAGUUAAAAAAAAAAAACAGCUUCCCAAUGUUUCUAUAUCUUUUAAAAAUCUGAAUCUAACCUUUGUACAUGAACAAAAUCCACAAAGAGCACAAACGUUUGUAGGUAUGAAAACAUAAAACCGAAAAGGCUUUUCUUUAACUCCAACAACCAUCUGUAGUUUGUAAACAAUGAACUGGCAUGAAUAAGUCUGUUUUUUUUCCCUUAUUUUUGCAUUAGGUGCUGAAUGACUCGAAAAGCAAACUGUGUAUUUGUAUACCUAGUGUUCACAGACCCCUCCUUCUCCUCCUCCUCUUCCAGCCAGCCAGCAAUACAAAGUAGGUCAUAGUGCAGCAGAGGCCACAGAAACCUAGAAGGAAAACUUUCCCAUCUCUCCCAAUUACUCAAAGGGAAUAAAUGUAAUUGUGUGGCACUGUAAGUGACCACUGUGGAAACAUUUCAGACUUUGUAAAAGGUAAUAAAAUAAAGCAGCUGGCACAAAUGAGUUCUUGAGAGUGCAAUUACACCCUAUAGACUUAUUUAAGUGAGAGUGCCUAUCACCACCCAUCUCUGCCAUUUUGGCCGCUCUAUGCACCGCUGUCCUUGCUCUGCUUGCCCGUUGACCUUCAUCAUCUUCUUCUUCCCACUGCUAAAGUGCAUCUGACCUGUCUCUUUGUGAAGCUGUGCAAAGCUUAUGCAGCCAGUAGCUGCCUCACAAACCGCCCGGUGAAAUGCGCCUUGCCACCAGUGGGAGGAAGAAGACUAUGAAGGUCAGUUGGGGUGGGCUAGGCAGUGGAGCACAAGGUGGCUUGGAGUGGUGGUGGUGUGGUGCAGGAACAAGGGAGCCCUGGGUGGCCAAAAUGGCAGAGACAGGGGUGGUGAGGGAGAAAGGUAUGGGGGGGGGAGUUGAGGCCAAAGUGAUCUUGGCAGGGCAGAACGAGUGUGAAAUCUUGAUCAAACUAUUACAACUGGGAUUACUGAAACUGUUGUUGCCAAUGCUAUGUCCACAGGAUGUUUCAGUUAGCAGCGGAAAUCCCAAUCCCAAUUAGGAUCAUUAAACAAAGACUUCCUGCAAUUUGUAACCCAGUAUAAACUGUCUCUUAUAUGUAAAUUCUAGAGUCCCAAUAAGGAGCAAGAUGUUAAUACAUGCAUACAACUCAGAUUUCUCUAGUCAAGAUAAAAGAUCAGCAAAGGUAUGACAGGACUAAGAGAUGCUUUCGGGACAAUCUAGCAAACCAUUGUGAACUUUUUCUAAUCUGGGCAGUCUGUAAGCAGUGAAAUACUAUUACAGACUCUGGGCAGUCUGUAAGCAGUGAAAUACUAUUUUUCUUAUUAAAUGAUCAAUGAAAUUGAAUCCUGUAUAUGUGUCUUUGUAUUUGUGUUUUCCACUCUUCUCCUGAAAACUAAAAUAAAGUACUAAAAGUAAAAAA